CAGGAACAGGAGCUGCAGGAGGGCGGUUCUGUCCUUCCGAGAAACAAGGCGUCCCCACCACGGCUGUGAGCCAGUGCCUGCCGCCCGACAGCCACAGCACUGUGGCACUGAGGACCAGCUUUCCCUGAAGUCCGCCUGCAUCAAACAGGUCUACCCCAUGCCUAGAUUGGCCAAAGACUCAGACCUUCCUCCCACUCUAACCACCGUCACCCUGGAGACCCACAGGAAGAGCUGUGAGCCCUGAAGGCAAUGCUUGCACCAUCCUUCCCCCACCUGGGCCAGGACUGCCACUGUCAGCUGCUGCUCCAGCCUCACGCUGAGCAUAGGGGACAUGGCCCAGAUGCAGCCACCACCCACUUGAUAUGGUUCCUGCCUGCCACGUGCCAUACCACUGCGGUCCAUGUUGGACAGGUGCAAUAUGAGGUCUAAGUCCCUCUGGCUCCAUUCUAGCCAGCACCAUGGCACCAACCUAACCACAGCCUGUGUGACAGUCCAGGAGGUCAACCAGUGCCACACCCUCUCCAUGCGGAGUUCAGCCUCCUCAGGUGGGGCUUCCUACUGAGAACUGCUCUACAUUUGGACUUCUGACUCCCCUCCCUGGCACUUGCUGGAGAGCACAGGAGGUGGGCUCCAGGGAGGAGACACCAUGUCUUGCUGUUCAGCUGGUACCUAGCGUGUGCUGGUGCAUAGCAAGUGCCCAAUCUAGAGAAUGAAUGAAUGCCGUGGUACACAACCACUCAUCUUUCCCAUAACUACAUUCAGUAGCUGUCCACUAGUUCCUCCCAUAAGUGAGGGACAGGACCAGCACCUAAGAUCUUUGGUUGCUUCUCUGUUGUACCCUGAAGACCCUCUCUCCUCCAAAAGGGAAAUCCACCCAGCUCUGUGUCCCAGCAGACUCCCCUGUAUGGACCACCCCGUCAGGCUCCCCUGUAUGGACCACCCCAUCAGGAUCCCCUGUAUGGACCACCCCGUCAGGUCCCCUGUAUGGACCACCCCGUCAGGCUCCCCGGCCCUCUGGCUGCCAAAGCCAUGAGAUCAGAGGGAGGAAGGAGUGAGGUCUAGGUUGAGGAUUCUCCCAGCUCCCUCUCUGCAGGCUACACACUGCCCGCCCCCUCCAACAGAGGCCACAGUCCCUGUCAGGCUGUCCCUAGUUUUGGCUCUGCCACUUGACAUUUUAAACCUCAAGGUGCUAAUGCCCAGGGCUCUGCACUAUCCCUUACGGUUUUCCUAUCUCCUACCCAAAUCUCCCCAUCAUUAAACUCCUCGACUUGCCUGGUACCCGCUGGGCCCCUGACGGAGCUGAUCCCAAAGUCUGAAGCUUGUCAAGAGGCAGAAGCACAGCCUGGGGAGGGAAUCCACAGUUGUCCCUGCUCAGCUUCCAGCCCGCAGAGGAUGGACGCCUUCUCCGGAUGGCUUCUCUUGGUUUUGGGAGCAGGGCGGCAAAGUCUUUUCAUUUCCCAAUUUUUAAAUUACUUUUCUGAAUAGUUAACACAUUCAGAUCGCUCAAAGGUCAAAAAAUACAGAAGAGUAGCUGCACUGGCGUCUCCUGCACCUCCGUCAGUGCAGGGUUGACGUGCCGUGCUGUCCCUCACAGGAGGACCUUGUCCCCUCCAGGCAGCUUCAGACCACGGCUCAGCACCAAACCCAGCCGCGGCCUGGCUCCCUGCAGUUCCCACUUGCUGUGCUUACUUCUAAGUGAGAGGUCCCACCUGCAACUGGGGAAGCUCUGCCUCGAUAAAGCCUCCAAGAGCCUGUGCCCUGGCUCACACCAGGGUGACCGGGAAACGCAGACAGCACUUAUGCCAAGCAACAGUUUCUUACACUCUGGGACCUCCAGGAAGUAGCAUCUGCCAAAUGCAAGGAUAACAUUUUCCUCUUCAUGCAGCAAGGUCUCUUCAGAUUAAACAAUGAUAAUAACCAAAAAACCAAAGCUUACCUUGGUUGGCAGUUUGCAAAUGUUUUGUCCUGUGUGAUCUAAUAAUGCACUAAAAUACGCUGUCAUAAAGCAAAAUCUUCAUAUGCAAACAAUACAUUAGCAGCUUGGCUAUUUAAUACUUUGCCGCAUAAGGCUCUCUACUGAGCGCACAAGUAAACAGAAGUCUGUCCCUUUUAGGAG
This 2116-nucleotide long non-coding RNA is filed under the name Homo sapiens (human). RNAcentral describes it as "HSALNT0158325". The record is from RNAcentral. Lineage: Eukaryota; Metazoa; Chordata; Mammalia; Primates; Hominidae.